This 497-nucleotide ribosomal RNA is filed under the name uncultured bacterium. Its description in RNAcentral is "partial 16S ribosomal RNA". It matches the Rfam family "Bacterial small subunit ribosomal RNA", at positions 28 to 507 of the family's 1533-position model. The record is from RNAcentral.
GAUGAACGCUGGCGGCGUGCCUAAUACAUGCAAGUCGAGCGAACAGAUGAGGAGCUUGGUCCUCUGACGUUAGCGGCGGACGGGUGAUUAACACGUGGAUAACCUACCUAUAAGACUGGGAUGAUUUCGGGAAACCGGAGCUACUAACGGAUAAUAUAUUGAACCGCAUGGUUCAAUAGUUAAAGACGGUUUUGCUGUGACUUAUAGAUGGAUCCGCGCCGCAUCAGCUAGUUGGUAAGGUAACGGCUUACCAAAGCAACGAUGGGUAGCCGACACGAGAGGGUGAACCCCCACAUGGGAACAGAGACAGAGUCCAGACACCUACAGGAAGACACAGUCGGGAAUCCUCCGGGAGGGGGGAGAGCCUAACGGAGCAACAUCGCGUGAAUCCUGAACCACUACUGAUCGGUAAACUAUGUAAUUCGGAAAGAAGAAAAGUGUAAGUACCUAUGCUCGUCUUGACGGUACCUAGACAAAAAGCCCCGGCUAACUACGUG